Molecule: ribosomal RNA, 460 nt
Filed under: uncultured bacterium
Lineage: Bacteria
Description: SSU rRNA
Rfam family: Bacterial small subunit ribosomal RNA
Source: RNAcentral
AGAAUCAACGCUGGCGGCGUGCCUAACACAUGCAAGUCGAACGAGAAAGUGGAGCAAUCCAUGAGUAAAGUGGCAACCGGGUGAGUAACACGUGACUAACCUACCUUCGAGUGGGGGAUAACCUCGGGAAACCGGGGCUAAUACCGCAUAAUGCCUUCGGGUUAAAGGAGCAAUUCGCUUGAAGAGGGGGUCGCGGCUGAUUAGCUAGUUGGCGGGGUAACGGCCCACCAAGGCGAUGAUCGGUAGCCGGCCUGAGAGGGCGCACGGCCACACUGGAACUGAAACACGGUCCAGACUCCUACGGGAGGCAGCAGUGGGGAAUUUUGCGCAAUGGGGGAAACCCUGACGCAGCAACGCCGCGUGGAGGAUGAAGUCCCUUGGGACGUAAACUCCUUUCGACCGGGACGAUGAUGACGGUACCGGUGGAAGAAGCCCCGGCUAACUUCGUGCCAGCAGCCGC